AGAGUUUGAUCCUGGCUCAGGACAAACGCUGGCGGAAUGUAUUAGGCAUGCAAGUCGAACGGAACCUUCGGGUUUAGUGGCGGACGGGUGAGUAACGCGUGAGAAUCUGCCUCUAGGUCGGGGACAACAAUUGGAAACGAUUGCUAAUACCCGAUGUGCAGCAAUGUGAAAGAUUUAUUGCCUAGAGAUGAGCUCGCGUCUGAUUAGCUAGUAGGUGUGGUAAUGGCGCACCUAGGCGACGAUCAGUAACUGGUCUGAGAGGAUGACCAGUCACACUGGGACUGAGACACGGCCCAGACUCCUACGGGAGGCAGCAGUGGGGAAUUUUCCGCAAUGGGCGAAAGCCUGACGGAGCAAUACCGCGUGAGGGACGAAGGCUUUUGGGUCGUAAACCUCUUUUCCCUGAGAAGAAGAUCUGACGGUAUCAGGGGAAUCAGCAUCGGCUAACUUCGUGCCAGCAGCCGCGGUAAUACGAGGGAUGCAAGCGUUAUCCGGAAUUAUUGGGCGUAAAGCGUCCGCAGGUGGCUCUGUAAGUCUGUCGUUAAAGAAUGGGGCUCAACCCCAUACAGGCGAUGGAAACUACAAGGCUAGAGUUUGGUAGGGGUCACGGGAAUUCCUAGUGUAGCGGUGAAAUGCGUAGAUAUUAGGAAGAACACCAGCGGCGAAAGCGCGUGACUGGGCCAGUACUGACACUCAUGGACGAAAGCUAGGGGAGCGAAAGGGAU
RNAcentral lists this ribosomal RNA (725 nucleotides) under uncultured cyanobacterium. RNAcentral's name for it is "bacterial SSU rRNA". It matches the Rfam family "Bacterial small subunit ribosomal RNA", at positions 8 to 778 of the family's 1533-position model. The record is from RNAcentral. Lineage: Bacteria; Bacillati; Cyanobacteriota.